UCAUGGCCGACAAUUCCGAGCCCUUGA
RNAcentral lists this small RNA (27 nucleotides) under Bombyx mori (domestic silkworm). RNAcentral's name for it is "ovarian small RNA-26252". The record is from RNAcentral. Lineage: Eukaryota; Metazoa; Arthropoda; Insecta; Lepidoptera; Bombycidae.